AAAACCGAUCGUAGUCCGGAUCGCAGUCUGCAACUCGACUGCGUGAAGUCGGAAUCGCUAGUAAUCGCGAAUCAGAAUGUCGCGGUGAAUACGUUCCCGGGCCUUGUACACACCGCCCGUCACACCAUGGGAGUGGGUUGCACCAGAAGUAGCUAGUCUAACCUUCGGGAGGACGGUUACCACGGUGUGAUUCAUGACUGGGGUGAAGUCGUAACAAGGUAGCCGUAGGGGAACCUGCGGCUGGAUCACCUCCUUA
RNAcentral lists this ribosomal RNA (256 nucleotides) under Pseudomonas aylmerensis. Its description in RNAcentral is "partial 16S ribosomal RNA". It matches the Rfam family "Bacterial small subunit ribosomal RNA", at positions 1278 to 1533 of the family's 1533-position model. Lineage: Bacteria; Pseudomonadati; Pseudomonadota; Gammaproteobacteria; Pseudomonadales; Pseudomonadaceae. RNAcentral also lists the same sequence under 6 other names. The record is from RNAcentral.